AAGGAGUCUAACAUAUCUGCGAGUAUUUGGGUGUCAAACCCGAGUGCGCAAUGAAAGUGAACGUAGGAGCCACGCGCAAGCUACAGCUUCGACCGAUCUGGAUCUUUAGUGAUGGAUUUGAGUAAGAGCAUAUAUGUUGGGACCCGAAAGAAGGUGAACUAUGCCUGAAUAGGGCGAAGCCAGAGGAAACUCUGGUGGAGGCUCGUAGCGAUUCUGACGUGCAAAUCGAUCGUCAAAUAUGGGCAUGGGGGCGAAAGACUAAUCGAACCAUCUAGUAGCUGGUUCCUGC
RNAcentral lists this unclassified non-coding RNA (289 nucleotides) under uncultured fungus. RNAcentral's name for it is "partial contains 5.8S rRNA, ITS2 and 28S rRNA". It matches the Rfam family "Eukaryotic large subunit ribosomal RNA", at positions 668 to 961 of the family's 3401-position model. Lineage: Eukaryota; Fungi. The record is from RNAcentral.